RNAcentral lists this ribosomal RNA (358 nucleotides) under uncultured bacterium. RNAcentral's name for it is "bacterial SSU rRNA". It matches the Rfam family "Bacterial small subunit ribosomal RNA", at positions 68 to 422 of the family's 1533-position model. The record is from RNAcentral.
UCCAUGCAGUGGCAACACUGCGGAAGACCUAGUGGCGAACGGGUGAGUAACACGUGAGGAACUUGCCCCGGAGACCGGGAUAACCCUCCGAAAGGAGAGCUAAUACCGGAUGCCCUCACCGAGUCGCAUGGCUUGGUGAGGAAAUGGAUUCCGCUCCGGGAGAGCCUCGCGGCCUAUCAGCUAGUUGGUGGGGUAACGGCCCACCAAGGCGUCGACGGGUAGCUGGUCUGAGAGGACGAUCAGCCACACUGGGGCUGAGACACGGCCCAGACUCCUACGGGAGGCAGCAGUGGGGAAUCUUGCGCAAUGGGCGAAAGCCUGACGCAGCAACGCCGCGUGCGGGAUGAAGGCCCUCGGG